GGGACUUUACUUGAACAGCAUCUGUUCUUAAGGUUCGCACCUCUGUAUCCUUGAGUUCUAAGGAGACAGGAAUCUCAACCUGGUGGAUGAAUCAUGACCGUGAGAUCGGAGCGUGAUCAACGGCGUGAUGGUACCAAAGAUCAUCUCAGCCGUAGAGAAUCGUUCUCAGCCAAUUACCUCUUCUUGAUCCAAAACAGCAG
Morus notabilis is the source of this 200-nucleotide non-coding RNA. The record is from Rfam. Lineage: Eukaryota; Viridiplantae; Streptophyta; Magnoliopsida; Rosales; Moraceae.